Molecule: small nuclear RNA, 107 nt
Organism: Otolemur garnettii (small-eared galago)
Lineage: Eukaryota; Metazoa; Chordata; Mammalia; Primates; Galagidae
Source: Ensembl
GUGCUUGCUUCGGCAGCACAUAUACUAAAAUUGGAAUGAUACAGAGAAGAUUAGCAUGGCCCCUUCACAAGGAUGACUCGCAAAUUUGUGAAGCGUUCCAUGUCCUC